CCUACGGGAGGCUGCAGUGAGGAAUAUUGGUCAAUGGACGAGAGUCUGAACCAGCCAAGUAGCGUGAAGGAUGACUGCCCUAUGGGUUGUAAACUUCUUUUAUAUGGGAAUAAAAUGUUCCACGUGUGGGAUUUUGUAUGUACCAUAUGAAUAAGGCUCGGCUAACUCCGUGCCAGCAGCCGCGGUAAUACGGAGGAUCCGAUCGUUAUCCGGAUUUAUUGGGUUUAAAGGGAGCGUAGGUGGAUUGUUAAGUCAGUUGUGAAAGUUUGCGGCUCAACCGUAAAAUUGCAGUUGAAACUGGCAGUCUUGAGUACAGUAGAGGUGGGCGGAAUUCGUGGUGUAGCGGUGAAAUGCUUAGAUAUCACGAAGAACUCCGAUUGCGAAGGCAGUUCACUGGACUGCAACUGACACUGAGGCUCGAAAGUGUGGGUAUCAAACAGGAUUAGAUACCCCAGUAGUC
RNAcentral lists this ribosomal RNA (460 nucleotides) under uncultured bacterium. Its description in RNAcentral is "partial 16S ribosomal RNA". It matches the Rfam family "Bacterial small subunit ribosomal RNA", at positions 338 to 795 of the family's 1533-position model. The record is from RNAcentral.